RNAcentral lists this unclassified non-coding RNA (2628 nucleotides) under Hevea brasiliensis (rubber tree). Lineage: Eukaryota; Viridiplantae; Streptophyta; Magnoliopsida; Malpighiales; Euphorbiaceae. The record is from RNAcentral.
GCCAAAUGUUGCUUCUUUUCAGUUAUAUGGGUAAAACCAAAAACAUUUGCAUCUAGCUACACCAAUGUCUCAUAUAAACAAUGAUUCCUCCUUCAUCUUCACAUUUGUUUCCCUUGAUUUUUCACCUUCCAACCAUAAAAUUGAUCAUUUACAAAGCUUAUAUGCUCUUCUUGCUCUCAUGAAACCGAUCCUGAGUACAGAAAAGGGAACAUUUGCAUGCAUAAUGAUAGUUUUCUGUGUUGUUAACUUGCAUCAAUCUUCUUAUUUCUUGACUUGAAGGUUUGGUGUUGAGUCCAGUUCAUGGUAUGCAGCCUUGGACUUCAUGGCUAGUGAGGAUGUUGAUGAGGUAGAUAAGGAUGUGGGAGAGGAACUUCUCGUCUUCUUUUUCGUUUUCACUUUCUUGGGAAUAUUUGGAAGAUCUGAAGAUGGAAUGUUACUGAAUGAAUUGGAAAUGGGUUGAUUUCCAAUAGAUUGAUCAAAAUCUGUUGUAAGAAAUCAAAGUAAAAUGAGGAAAUUUGCUCAAACCACUAAAACAGAAUAAAUUGGCUGCACCAACACAAAAAUUUAUCAUCAAUGGAAACAAAGGGAAUGAAUAUCAUCCAAGAAUCCUGUUAGAACUACAGUAGCAUUUGGUGCAUAAUAGAAACAUUCUGUUUUUAAUAAAUUCUGAAUCUCCAAUGUACCCAAUAAGAAAAAAUUCAGUUUAGUAGCUAUUAGCCAGUACAAUUCUAGCUUUCUCUCUUUGUUUUUUUCAACUCUUCUCUCUUUCUCAUAGACAUCUCUCUGUCAAAUUUCCCUCAUUUCUCAAAAAACAAACAUUGAAGUUAGGCCUAAGGAUUUCAAGUUUAAUAGGAAUAGCAGCUGCAGCUGCAGCUGCAGGGACAACUAUUACAUAAGAGGGAGAAAAUAUGCACAAGAUUACCAGCAUGGAGAGGUAAUGCUAGCCAUAAUUUAUUGAGAAUCACAAUUCUUCUUCUUCUUCUUCUUUGAGGGAUUGAGAAUCACAGCGACCAUAUAUAAGAAAAAGAAUGGGAAAAAUACAAAUUCUACCACCUAGGAAAAUUCUAUCUAUGGUCCACCAAAAAUUGGUUUUUUUUAGGUAAAGGCCAGAAUUUGUAGAUUCUUUCUCGUGACACAAGAGCCAAAAUCUGUCUGUUUUGAGGCAAAGAAUCUCAUAGCCUUAUGCUAUACAAUACAAUAUUACAAAUGUAGCUUCAAUAAAUUAAAACAGACAUUAAUGUACGUUUCCCUCAGCACUCAGACACAUAAAAAGAACCUAUUCAUUGUCUGAUUAUGGAACACCUCUCAUGGUAAUCAAUUAAUUUUCAAGUCUAAUUUCUAAUCACAAUACAAUAUUACAAUCCCUCCCUCAUAUCACAAAACAUCCAAGUUCAAGCAAUCUCUCCCCCAUCUAUUUUAAAAAAGUAAUAAUAAAAAGCAUUCGAUUUAGUUUGAUAAUAAGUUUAUUUCUCGACUUGGGUUAGAUAUCAAGCUCAUUUUAAUUUUUUUUAUUUCCAUUCAUUCUAAAAAUAACAAUACUAAUAAAAAAAAAUUUACCUUGAGAGGACCAUGAAGAGAAAGCAAGAGAAUUCUGAUCUCUUGCAUUACUGAGCGUUGUUGUUGCGAAAUCAGGAGGUGUUUUGAACUCAUUCAUCCAACUGGGUGCAGUUCCAGAAGGACCAUCCCAGCCUAUGUGGGCUACAUGCUUCACAUCUGUUGGAUACCCAAUUUCCAUCUCUCUCUCCUUCACCACUGCUAAAGAAAAAUAAAAUCCAUUUCCCAUAAUCUUCAGCUACCCAAUUAAGAAACCAAGACAUAAAUAAAGGAAAAAGGUUUACCAAAUAUUUGGGAGAUGAACUUGAAGCCCUUAUAGAUCCCUUUGAUCUUGGUUGCCAUGGUGGAAAAAAGUAAAAGCCAAUGCAAUAGUUCCUUCAAUGAAUGCCACAGAAGAAGAGAAAAACCAAAUGUAAGUGUAGAGAUGGUUGUUUUGCCUGCAAUAAAGCAAGAUAUAGAUAUAUUUAUUUGAUUGUGUAAUCCACUGCAUUUUACAGCAGAAGAAGUCAGGAACAGAUGCAAAAGGACAAAAAAGAACAGCAACUUAUCACAGAAGAUAAUAAAUGCAUGUGACUUAACUAUUUCCCUGUGAAUGAAGAUUGGAAUCUAUCCUUUGAAUUAAAAGAGGGGGAAAAAAGUUGCAUUGAUGUGAAAGUAGAAAAGGAAAAACCAGUUGAUUUGAAUUAAUGCCUCUAGGGAAUGGCUGGCUCUGAUGGUGUAAAGAAAUGGGAGAUUUAGAAGGGAGACAAUCUCUUCUCUCUUUCCUCCAGGCAAUGUAACAAAGCUCUAUUCUCCAUGUUUCCUCUAUGAUUCUUGAUGAAUACAGGAACAUAAAAGUAGUCUACCUGUGAAAUCAAGAGCUUGAUUUGGACUAACAGAAAAGAAAACUCAUUAAGGUAAACAAGAAAAACUCCCAAAAGGAAAGAAAUGAGAAGGAAAUAAACAGGAAGUGGGAAGCCAUGAAAAAGCCAAGACUUAAGAAUGCUGAGAAGAUAAGGAUCUAAAGAAUUGAUAAAAGAAGGUGGGGAGCCAUAAAAGGGAAAACAUGCUAAAGAGGAGGAAAACAUGGCAAGA